This 253-nucleotide unclassified non-coding RNA is filed under the name uncultured fungus. RNAcentral's name for it is "sequence contains ITS1, 5.8S rRNA gene". The stretch from base 205 to 253 matches the Rfam family "5.8S ribosomal RNA", at positions 1 to 49 of the family's 154-position model. The record is from RNAcentral. Lineage: Eukaryota; Fungi.
UUUCCGUAGGUGAACCUGCGGAAGGAUCAUUACAGAGUACCGGUGCCCUCUGGGCGCCUACUCCAACCCUUUGUCUACCACACUUGUUGCUUUGGCGGGCCGGGUGCCCCCACAGGCACCGCCGGCCCCGGCUGGAGAGCGCCCGCCAGAGGAUAUACAAACACUGCUCACGGUGUCGUCUGAGUAAAAUUUUAAAUGAAUCAAAACUUUCAACAACGGAUCUCUUGGUUCUGGCAUCGAUGAAGAACGCAGC